This is a non-coding RNA of Cinara cedri, 543 nucleotides long. Lineage: Eukaryota; Metazoa; Arthropoda; Insecta; Hemiptera; Aphididae. The record is from the annotation of a GenBank genome assembly.
GGCAAAAUAUACAACAGACUGUCCCUCCUGUGGAGGAUUCAUUGUUGCUCCUCUAUAUACAUUGCUGUGCAAGUAUUUACAUUUUUUCGUCUAAAUGUUUCGAAGAUCUGGUACGGAGUGUUUACCCAGUCGACUAUGUUCAAAUCGUUAUCGAAAUAAUCGGUAAAUAUCACGGUUUAAGAUUAUUAUGCAGAGCACAAUUUGUGAUGCCAUUUGUGAUUUGUUUUCAUUUAAUAAACAAAAUAAUCAUAAGUGACGUACUGUGCGAUAAAUGUGUAAAUAAACGCCAUAAUAAACUCUGACAACCACUACUGUUUUACGUUAUUUCUUUUUUCUGUCUAAAUGUAGGUAUAUUCUCGCGGACUACUGGUGGUCCCCGGAACAUAAGUUAAGACACACCGCUUUAAAACAUUAAGACCGGCUGAGCGUUGCACGGAGCUUUGAUAUCGUGUAAAACGUCUAAUACCUCGAUGUACGAUAAAUAUUAUAAAUAACGAAAUUAUAAACUUUUAAAAUUCCUGUAAUUAUUUUUAAUAAUUAAUA